RNAcentral lists this ribosomal RNA (1456 nucleotides) under uncultured prokaryote. Its description in RNAcentral is "partial 16S ribosomal RNA". It matches the Rfam family "Bacterial small subunit ribosomal RNA". The record is from RNAcentral.
AUUGAACGCUGGCGGUAUGCUUAACACAUGCAAGUCGAACGGUAACGAAGCUAGCUUGCUAGCAGGCGACGAGUGGCGGACGGGUGAGUAACGCGUGGGAAUCUACCUAGUAGUGGGGGAUAGCCAGAAGAAAUUCUGAAUAAUACCGCAUACGCCCUACGGGGGAAAGAAGGCCUCUUCUUGAAAGCUUUCACUAUUAGAUGAGCCCGCGUUAGAUUAGCUAGAUGGUGAGGUAAAAGCUCACCAUGGCAACGAUCUAUAGCUGGUCUGAGAGGAUGACCAGCCACAUUGGGACUGAGACACGGCCCAGACUCCUACGGGAGGCAGCAGUGGGGAAUAUUGGACAAUGGGCGCAAGCCUGAUCCAGCAAUACCGCGUGUGUGAAGAAGGCCUUAGGGUUGUAAAGCACUUUUAUGAGUGAAGAAGGCCCUGAGGUUAAUAGCCUUGGGUCUUGACGUUAACUUUAGAAGAAGCACCGGCUAACUCUGUGCCAGCAGUUGUGGUAAUACAGAGGGUGCGAGCGUUAAUCGGAAUUACUGGGCGUAAAGAGUACGUAGGCGGUUUAGUAAGUCAGAUGUGAAAGCCCUGGGUUCAACCUGGGAACUGCAUUUGAAACUGCUGAACUAGAGUGUGGUAGAGGGAAGUGGAAUUCAGGGUGUAGCGGUGAAAUGCGUAGAUAUCCUGAGGAAUACCAGUGGCGAAGGCAGCCACCUGGGUCAACACUGACGCUCAUGUACGAAAGCGUGGGGAGCAAACGGGAUUAGAUACCCCGGUAGUCCACGCCGUAAACGAUGUCUACUAGGAGUUCGGUUUUUCGGAACUGUCUUCCAAAGCUAACGCAUUAAGUAGACCGCCUGGGGAGUACGGCCGCAAGGUUAUAACUCAAAUGAAUUGACGGGGGCCCGCACAAGCGGUGGAGCAUGUGGUUUAAUUCGAUGCAACGCGAAGAACCUUACCUACUCUUGACAUCCACAGAACUCGCUAGAGAUAGCUUGGUGCCUUCGGGAACUGUGAGACAGGUGCUGCAUGGCUGUCGUCAGCUCGUGUUGUGAAAUGUUGGGUUAAGUCCCGCAACGAGCGCAACCCUUAUCCUUAUUUGCCAGCACGUAAUGGUGGGAACUCUAAGGAGACUGCCGGUGAUAAACCGGAGGAAGGUGGGGACGACGUCAAGUCAUCAUGGCCCUUACGAGUAGGGCUACACACGUGCUACAAUGGCGCAUACAAAGGGCUGCAAACCAGCAAUGGUAAGCGAAUCCCAUAAAGUGCGUCGUAGUCCGGAUUGGAGUCUGCAACUCGACUACAUGAAGCUGGAAUCGCUAGUAAUCGCGGAUCAGCACGCCGCGGUGAAUACGUUCCCGGGCCUUGUACACACCGCCCGUCACACCAUGGGAGUGGGUUGCUCCAGAAGUGGAUAGUCUAACCUUCGGGGGGACGUUCACCACGGAGUGAUUCAUGU